Molecule: ribosomal RNA, 464 nt
Filed under: uncultured bacterium
Lineage: Bacteria
Description: partial 16S ribosomal RNA
Rfam family: Bacterial small subunit ribosomal RNA
Source: RNAcentral
ACGAACGCUGGCGGCGUGCUUAACACAUGCAAGUCGAACGGAAAGGCCCUGCUUGCAGGGUACUCGAGUGGCGAACGGGUGAGUAACACGUGGGUGAUCUGCCCUGCACUUCGGGAUAAGCCUGGGAAACUGGGUCUAAUACCGGAUAGGAGCCAUUUUUAGUGUGAUGGUUGGAAAGUUUUUUCGGUGUAGGAUGAGCUCGCGGCCUAUCAGCUUGUUGGUGGGGUAAUGGCCUACCAAGGCGGCGACGGGUAGCCGGCCUGAGAGGGUGGACGGCCACAAUGGGACUGGGGUACGGCCCAGAAUCCUACGGGAGGCAGGAGGGGGGAAAAAUGCACAAUGGGGGGAAGGCUGAUGGAACGAAGGCGCGUGGGGGGUGAAGGCCUUUGGGUUGGAAACUCGUUUCGCCAGGGAAGAAGCUUUUUGUGACGGUACCUAGAUAAGAAGCACCGGCUAACUACGUG